GACGAACGCUGGCGGCGUGCUUAACACAUGCAAGUCGAACGGAAAGGCCCUGCUUUUGUGGGGUGCUCGAGUGGCGAACGGGUGAGUAACACGUGAGUAACCUGCCCUUGACUUUGGGAUAACUUCAGGAAACUGGGGCUAAUACCGGAUAGGAGCUCCUGCUGCAUGGUGGGGGUUGGAAAGUUUCGGCGGUUGGGGAUGGACUCGCGGCUUAUCAGCUUGUUGGUGGGGUAGUGGCUUACCAAGGCUUUGACGGGUAGCCGGCCUGAGAGGGUGACCGGCCACAUUGGGACUGAGAUACGGCCCAGACUCCUACGGGAGGCAGCAGUGGGGAAUAUUGCACAAUGGGCGGAAGCCUGAUGCAGCAACGCCGCGUGCGGGAUGACGGCCUUCGGGUUGUAAACCGCUUUCGCCUGUGACGAAGCGUGAGUGACGGUAAUGGGUAAAGAAGCACCGGCUAACUACGUGCCAGCAGCCGCGGUGAUACGUAGGGUGCGAGCGUUGUCCGGAUUUAUUGGGCGUAAAGGGCUCGUAGGUGGUUGAUCGCGUCGGAAGUGUAAUCUUGGGGCUUAACCCUGAGCGUGCUUUCGAUACGGGUUGACUUGAGGAAGGUAGGGGAGAAUGGAAUUCCUGGUGGAGCGGUGGAAUGCGCAGAUAUCAGGAGGAACACCAGUGGCGAAGGCGGUUCUCUGGGCCUUUCCUGACGCUGAGGAGCGAAAGCGUGGGGAGCGAACAGGCUUAGAUACCCUGGUAGUCCACGCUGUAAACGGUGGGUACUGGGUGUGGGGUCCAUUCCACGGGUUCCGCGCCGUAGCUAACGCUUUAAGUACCCCGCCUGGGGAGUACGGCCGCAAGGUUGAAACUCAAAGGAAUUGACGGGGGCCCGCACAAGCGGUGGAGCAUGUGGUUUAAUUCGAAGCAACGCGAAGAACCUUACCAGGUCUUGACAUCCCUCUGACCGCUCUAGAGAUAGAGUUUUCCUUCGGGACAGAGGUGACAGGUGGUGCAUGGUUGUCGUCAGCUCGUGUCGUGAGAUGUUGGGUUAAGUCCCGCAACGAGCGCAACCCCUAUUGUUAGUUGCCAUCAUUCAGUUGGGCACUCUAGCGAGACUGCCGGUAAUAAACCGGAGGAAGGUGGGGAUGACGUCAAAUCAUCAUGCCCCUUAUGACCUGGGCUACACACGUGCUACAAUGGCUGGUACAACGAGUCGCAAGCCGGUGACGGCAAGCUAAUCUCUUAAAGCCAGUCUCAGUUCGGAUUGUAGGCUGCAACUCGCCUACAUGAAGUCGGAAUCGCUAGUAAUCGCGGAUCAGCACGCCGCGGUGAAUACGUUCCCGGGCCU
RNAcentral lists this ribosomal RNA (1342 nucleotides) under uncultured bacterium. RNAcentral's name for it is "bacterial SSU rRNA". It matches the Rfam family "Bacterial small subunit ribosomal RNA", at positions 28 to 1381 of the family's 1533-position model. The record is from RNAcentral.